UGACCAGUAUCAUUCGCGCCUGUACCGCGUCAGGAUCGUCGAACAGGAGUCUUCGGUGAUACAUGACAAGUGCUUCGGUCGACGAUUAACGCCGUCUGUCUUUGGACGUGUCAUUUACGCUGUUUUAAAGAUAGUGGUGUUUAAAACGGAAAAUGUCAUCUAUCAAGAGACAUUGGUAAAUAGCAAGAAACGUUACGUUUUACAAUAGGCACAUGCAUUUUGUUAAAACAUUCUUGAUGGUGCUAUUCAUUUUGUAAAGCUGGUAUGGUUGCUAGGGCUGUUCAAGCGACCAGGAGUUGUAGUUUCUUCGUUCUCACGUAAAAAGGCAUAUGUUGAGUUUGAGCGGCGCGGCAGGAUGAAAGGGGGUAGUUCUUCGAAAGUUAUUUUUCCACGUAUAUUGGACUUUGGG
RNAcentral lists this unclassified non-coding RNA (409 nucleotides) under Bombus terrestris (buff-tailed bumblebee). RNAcentral's name for it is "misc RNA ENSBTSG00005036183.1". The record is from RNAcentral. Lineage: Eukaryota; Metazoa; Arthropoda; Insecta; Hymenoptera; Apidae.